Molecule: unclassified non-coding RNA, 345 nt
Filed under: soil metagenome
Description: partial contains 5.8S ribosomal RNA, internal transcribed spacer 2, and large subunit ribosomal RNA
Rfam family: 5.8S ribosomal RNA (bases 1-120)
Source: RNAcentral
GAUGAAGAACGUAGUGAAAUGCGAUACGUAAUGUGAAUUGCAGAAUUCAGUGAAUCAUCGAGUCUUUGAACGCACAUUGCGCCCCCUGGUAUUCCGGGGGGCAUGCCUGUCCGAGCGUCAUUGCUGCCCUCAAGCACGGCUUGUGUGUUGGGCCUCCGUCCUCCUCCCGGGGGACGGGCCCGAAAGGCAGCGGCGGCACCGCGUCCGGUCCUCGAGCGUAUGGGGCUUCGUCACCCGCUCUUGUAGGCCCGGCCGGCGCUUGCCGACACAUCAAUCUUUUUUCCAGGUUGACCUCGGAUCAGGUAGGGAUACCCGCUGAACUUAAGCAUAGCAAUAAGCGGAGGA